This 155-nucleotide small RNA is filed under the name Chelonoidis abingdonii (Abingdon island giant tortoise). RNAcentral's name for it is "TUC338 (ENSCABG00000008320.1)". Lineage: Eukaryota; Metazoa; Chordata; Testudines; Testudinidae. The record is from RNAcentral.
UUGCUAGUCCUGGACUCUGAAAUCUUCUAUGCCUAUAAGAAGUACAGCACAGAAAAUGGCAGUUCAGUUUCCUCACAGUGCCCACCAAUGUGCUUCAUUAACCUCUGACUUGUUCCGUGAGGCGCAAGAUCAUGCCCGUUCAACUUCUGGCUGCU